Molecule: unclassified non-coding RNA, 223 nt
Filed under: rhizosphere metagenome
Description: partial ribosomal RNA internal transcribed spacer region
Source: RNAcentral
GUUGGUGAACCAGCGGAGGGAUCAUUACAGAGUUGCAAAACUCCCUAAACCAUUGUGAACGUUACCAAAACCGUUGCUUCGGCGGGCGGCCCGGGUCCUUCCCGGCGCCCCCCGGCCCUCGCGGGCGCCCGCCGGAGGUAAACCAAACUAUUGCAUUAAUGGCCUCUCUGAGUCUUCUGUACUGAAUAAGUCAAAACUUUCAACAACGGAUCUCUUGGUUCUG